Molecule: ribosomal RNA, 497 nt
Filed under: uncultured bacterium
Lineage: Bacteria
Description: partial 16S ribosomal RNA
Rfam family: Bacterial small subunit ribosomal RNA
Source: RNAcentral
ACUCAAAUGAAUUGACGGGGGCCCGCACAAGCGGUGGAGCAUGUGGUUUAAUUCGAUGCAACGCGAAGAACCUUACCUACCCUUGACAUCCUGUGAAGCCACUAGAGAAGGUGGUGUGCCGAAAGGAGCACAGAGACAGGUGCUGCAUGGCUGUCGUCAGCUCGUGUCGUGAGAUGUUGGGUUAAGUCCCGUAACGAGCGCAACCCCUAUGCUUAGUUGCUAGUUUGCAAGAGCGCACUUUAAGCAGACUGCUCGUGAUAAGCGAGAGGAAGGCGGGGACGAUGUCAAGUCAUCAUGGCCUUUAUGGGUAGGGCUACACACGUGCUACAAUGGUGGGAACAGAGGGGUGCUUUCCUGGAAGGGGUCGCGAAUCUCAGAAAUCCCAUCGUAGUCCGGAUUGGAGUCUGCAACUCGACUCUAUGAAGUCGGAAUCGCUAGUAAUCGCAGAUCAGCAGGCUGCGGUGAAUACGUUCUCGGGCCUUGUACACACCGCCCGU